Molecule: ribosomal RNA, 253 nt
Filed under: uncultured bacterium
Lineage: Bacteria
Description: partial 16S ribosomal RNA
Rfam family: Bacterial small subunit ribosomal RNA
Source: RNAcentral
UACGAAGGGGGCUAGCGUUGUUCGGAAUUACUGGGCGUAAAGGGCUCGUAGGCGGCCAACUAAGUCAGACGUGAAAUCCCCAGGCUCAACCUGGGAACUGCGUCUGAUACUGGUUGGCUUGAAUCCGGGAGAGGGAUGCAGAAUUCCAGGUGUAGCGGUGAAAUGCGUAGAUAUCUGGAGGAAUACCGGUGGCGAAGGCGGCAUCCUGGACCGGCAUUGACGCUGAGGAGCGAAAGCUAGGGGAGCAAACGGG